Molecule: long non-coding RNA, 1375 nt
Organism: Prosopis cineraria
Lineage: Eukaryota; Viridiplantae; Streptophyta; Magnoliopsida; Fabales; Fabaceae
Exons: 3
Source: RefSeq, a predicted model, not a curated record
CCCUCCUCUCUACUCUUUGCUUCCCUCUUCUCGAAUCAAACGUAGCUUUAGAGAACGGACGCAGUUUCUUGAGGACAUGUCCCUCCCUAGAAAGCGACAUCACUUCUCAUUUAAAAUUGCCCCGGGCAUUUCAUUAUAUUUUCAUUUUUCCUCUUGAAAUUUAUCGAUAGCGAGGGCCUUGUCACUAGAAGCUACUUGCUCUGAAACUCCAUCAACAAGGUCAUACCCUUUUCUGAUCAUUCAUUGUUGAAAACUGUUGUUCUUCUUCACAUUGCUUGUUGUGUGUGUCAGUUUAGGUACAGUUCCUUUUCAGAUCACAACUUUGCCACUUUUGUCGCCCCACCUUAGUUCCUGGUCGUUGUUUCCAUUUCGAUCGCAACUUUGCCACUACUCCUAUAGUUCGCUGCCGUCGCAUCGCCACUGUCGUGCUUCUGCUCACACCGUUGCUAGAAGAACUAGUAAAUCUACUAUUUUUGUGUAUUUUUACAAGUCUGCCUUCUCAUUCUUGCAGAUCAGCCCUUUUCCUCACUUCCGUCAAUCUCACUGUUGUUUAUUAUUCAAAGAUUUAUUUAUUAAUCAAAUAAAUCUUCUGCUUGUAAGCAUUGGGACACCGUGUCAGCUCUCUUGUUUGCUCGUUUGAGUUUGCAUCCCCUGCCUGUUCUAUAGGAGGCUGGAAUAUUUAUCCUUUUGUGCUCAAGCUUGUGUGCUCUAAAAUUCUUUUUACUUUUAAUCACCAUUAGGAAUUCGAGCAUCCGUGCGUCUAUGGUGGACUCCACUGAUUUCGUUAAGCGCAUGGGAAGAGCCUGGUUGAUCUCUCAGUCUAUUUAGGCAGAGGAGAGAAAACGUAAAGUGGGAUGAAGCAGAGCAACGUGCAAGUGAGGGGUUGGUGAACAUGUCUACAUACUACGAUCAAUGUUAGGUCGUUAUAUAUGAUAUUCAAAGAACCCAGUUGAAAGCAGAUAAAUGUUACCCAAAUGAGGGAUCACAUCAAGAAUGCUCAUGUUCAAUAAUCCAAGCAUUGAUUUACUCGUAGGUUGAGUUUUGUUGGAGAGGUAUUUCUUGAUAUUUGACUCGGUUUCUCUUUUCAUCAAUAGUGAUUGUUCAAGCUAUAGGCUCAAUAAUUUUGGCGUACAUGUAUCUGAUGAAAUAUAGUAUGUAGAGUUGAAACUUUUGAUUGAGAAUUGCUCUUGACAUUUUCACCAACAUUUGGACCUCGAGCCACGAUUGUGGUCAAUGGCAUAAUAGACUGAAUCAUAACAUGUUCAUGUAGUUAUAAUUUGAGAUUCCAUCCGUAGUCUGGGCUUCACUGCUGGAGUUACAAGUUUGGCAUUUUAGUGAGAAUAAGUUUAACUGGUAGAGCUUGAUGUGUAGCUAG